UACUUUAAAUUUAGCCCUAAACCUAAAAUCAUAAUUUAAAUAUUUGUAAACCCUAACACACUAAACAUAGUUAAUAAACCAUUUUUCCACCUUAGUACGGGAGACAAAAAAGGAUACAGGAGCCUUAAAGUUAGUACCGCAAGGGAACAAUGAAAGAGAAAUGAAACAAAUUAAACAAGUAAACUAAAGAAGAGAUUAUAUCUCGUACCUUUUGCAUCAUGAUUUAGCAAGAAAGAAAUAAGCAAAGUGCACUUUAGUUUAUAUUCCCGAAACUAAGUGAGCUACUCCGGAACAGCUUUUUUAGAGCCAACCCGUAUCUGUGGCAAAAGAUUGGGAAGAUUCCCGAGUUGAAGUGAUAAACUUACCGAACUUAGUUAUAGCUGGUUACCUGAGAAGUAAAUAGAAGUUUAGCCUAAUUAUAUUAACCCCUCGAAACUGAUUACUAAGAUAGAGUAAGUAAAAUAAUUAGAGUUAAACAAAAGAGGUACAGCUCUUUUGUUAUAAGAUACAACUUUAAAAGGAGGUAAAAGAUCAUAAAUCAAAAAUAUAUUACUUUUGUGGGCCUAAAAGCAGCCAUCAAUAAAGAAAGCGUUAAAGCUCAAGUAAAAUUAGCUAUUAAUAUAAAGAUAUAAAUUCUUAAUCCCCUAAAUAUAUCAGGUCAUUCUACUCUUGUAGAAGUGAUUAUGCUAAUAUGAGUAAUAAGAGGCUUUAUAUCCUCUCUUUGCAUAAGUGUAAUUCGGAACGAACCAACACCGAGAAUUAAUGGACCCAACACUAGAGGGUAUUGUUGAAUAAUUAAAUUACCAGAAAACCCACCAAAUUUUACCAUUAACCUUACACCAGAAUGCAGUUAAAGAAAGACUAAAAGGAAAAGAAGGAACUCGGCAAACAUUAGCCUCGCCUGUUUACCAAAAACAUCGCCUCUUGAUUAAUAAACAUAAGAGGUCCCGCCUGCCCUGUGACUAUGUUUAACGGCCGCGGUAUUUUGACCGUGCGAAGGUAGCGCAAUCACUUGUCUUUUAAAUAAAGACCUGUAUGAAUGGCAAGACGAGGGCUUAACUGUCUCCUUACCCCAGUCAAUGAAAUUUAUCUCUCCGUGCAGAAGCGGAGAUACUUACACAAGACGAGAAGACCCUGUGGAGCUUUAGAUAAAUAAUGGAUAAUGUUUUCAAACUUAAUGAUAAGAGUAAACUAAAUUAAACCCAUUAAACAUCUUUGGUUGGGGCGACCGCGGAGAAAAGAAAAACCUCCACGAGGAAUGGUAACUUACCAUAGCUAAGAAUUACAUUUCGAAGCAUCAGAAUAUUUGACCUUAAGAUCCGGUACAACCGAUUAACGAACCGAGUUACCCUAGGGAUAACAGCGCAAUCUUCUCCAAGAGUCCUUAUCGACGAGAGGGUUUACGACCUCGAUGUUGGAUCAGGACAUCCUAAUGGUGCAACCGCUAUUAAGGGUUCGUUUGUUCAACGAUUAAAGUCCUACGUGAUCUGAGUUCAGACCGGAGUAAUCCAGGUCAGUUUCUAUCUGUGAAUCUGCUUUUCCCUAGUACGAAAGGACCGGGAAAAGAGGGCCCAUGAUUAAGUUAAGCCCUAUUUUAAAUUAUUUGAAACAAAAUGAAAUAAUUAAUAAAACGUAGAAUUAUAAUGGAAGAUUACCAUAUG
RNAcentral lists this ribosomal RNA (1661 nucleotides) under Hippichthys albomaculosus. RNAcentral describes it as "partial large subunit ribosomal RNA". It matches the Rfam family "Bacterial large subunit ribosomal RNA". The record is from RNAcentral. Lineage: Eukaryota; Metazoa; Chordata; Actinopteri; Syngnathiformes; Syngnathidae.